RNAcentral lists this ribosomal RNA (939 nucleotides) under Triticum aestivum (bread wheat). RNAcentral describes it as "partial small subunit ribosomal RNA". The record is from RNAcentral. Lineage: Eukaryota; Viridiplantae; Streptophyta; Magnoliopsida; Poales; Poaceae.
AUGACACCGCAUCUGCCCGUGUCGCCCCACCCCGCCCACCACCUGCUCGACGCGCUGCCCCCGUCGCCGCACCACCGCCGCCUCCGCAGGCGCCGCCGCCUCAGGGCGCGCUUCGACGCCGUCUUCUACGUGCCCGGCAACCACGACCUCUGGCUGCGCCGCGAGGGUGGCCGCUACGUGGAUUCGAUGGAGAAACUGACUGCAUUGCUUGAGGCGUGUAGUGAGCUGGGUGUGGAUACAGGCCCUAGAACGAUAGGUGACUUAGGGAUCAUACCAUUGUUUUCAUGGUAUCACAAGAGCUUUGACAAGGAAAAGGAUGUUAACAGUGUGCGUGUUCCUUCGUUGGAGAUGGCUUGUAAAGACUUUCAUGCUUGCCAAUGGCCUUCGGACUUGGGAAGUGAUGAUGAGGCUCUUGCUCUUUACUUUGACAAGUUGAAUGACAAGAACAAUGAUGCUAUUGAAGAAGUGAAAAAGAAGAGCAAACAGAUACUUACAUUUUCACACUUUGUACCAAGGCAAGAGUUAUGUCCAGAGAAGCGAAUGCUUUACUAUCCAAACCUUCCGAAGGUCAUCGGCUCUGAUUAUUUGGAAAGAAGGCUGAGAGCUAUACACAACAACGCUAAAGAUGGAGCAGCCUGCCAUGUAUUCGGGCAUACACAUUUCUGUUGGGAUUCUGUGGUUGAUGGUAUCAGGUAUGUACAGGCGCCUCUAGCAUACCCUCGGGAAAGAAAGCGAAGGAUAAACGGAGGCCAAGGAUGGUUGCCUUUUUGUGUAUAUCGUGAUGGCUUCAACCCUGAAAUAUACCCGGCUAUAUGGUCCGACUAUUACAACAAGAACAGAAGGGAGCCCGAGAACACCCAGCUUGCACCGUGGGUUGCCAAAUAUUUUUCGAAGUACUACGGACCCCCUGUUUUUGCCAAACAAACUGAAUCCGGUUGA